This 253-nucleotide ribosomal RNA is filed under the name uncultured bacterium. RNAcentral's name for it is "partial 16S ribosomal RNA". It matches the Rfam family "Bacterial small subunit ribosomal RNA", at positions 524 to 776 of the family's 1533-position model. The record is from RNAcentral.
UACGUAGGGGGCAAGCGUUGUCCGGAAUCAUUGGGCGUAAAGCGCGUGUAGGCGGUCCGGUAAGUCCGCUGUGAAAGUCCAGGGCUCAACCCUGGGAUGCCGGUGGAUACUGUCGGGCUAGAGUACGGAAGAGGCGAGUGGAAUUCCUGGUGUAGCGGUGAAAUGCGCAGAUAUCAGGAGGAACACCAAUUGCGAAGGCAGCUCGCUGGGACGUUACUGACGCUGAGACGCGAAAGCGUGGGGAGCAAACGGG